Brachypodium distachyon (stiff brome) is the source of this 985-nucleotide long non-coding RNA. RefSeq lists it as uncharacterized. The transcript is spliced from 3 exons. The record is from RefSeq and is a predicted model, not a curated record. Lineage: Eukaryota; Viridiplantae; Streptophyta; Magnoliopsida; Poales; Poaceae.
GGUAAUUACCCCCUGCUCAUCUGCCGUUGAUCGGUCUCCCCGUGCGCCUAGCGAUGGAACUGUUCCCCCAGCGAUCGAGUCUCCUGCUAACGGGCAGAGAAAGCUGCAUGUCAUACCCAACCCGGCAAGAGAAAGGAUAAUCCAGUUCUGAUAUUUAAUUAGCCAACUAAUUCCGGAUCAUUAUCUAGUUCUUGUUUCUCCCGUGCUCAUCCAUGCAGAUUUAGUUUUGCUGCUAACGAACUAAAAGAUUCGUUCUAAUCCAUCCGUAUUACACCGGUCCCUUCUCUCUCUUUCUCUCUCUCUCGUACACCCAGCACCGGCGCAUCGUCUGGCUGGCACCGGCGCGCCGGCCACCUGCCCGGAGACGGCGGCCGUGCAGAUCCUUCUCCUCGCCAGGCCUGCGCUCACAUCCUAUACCACUUCUGCCGUUACCCCCAAGGCCCAAGGUCAGAGGCAGCGUGAAGAAUCAGAUCUUCUAGCAUAUGAAUACAUAUGCCAUCUUCCUACCGUUUGCUGGAGUUAAUUAGAGAAGAGAUGUAUAUACAUGCAUGGAUUUGGAUUGAACGGAAGGAUAUAUGCAUGCGUUCAGAUCAAAAGAUGGUGACAGGCGGCCGGCAUGCGGACAAAUACGACGUUUGUGUGACAUCUAGGUUGCUAUUCUCGAUCUCGCACUGAUGCGCGCAAGCUCUGGUCAUCGUGGCGAGAUAACCAUGACAAGCAAACGAUGAGACGACUACGUGUCUGCCGAGUCCAACUAGAUUUUUUGCCGUCCGGCCAGCAGUGAUGAGAUAGAUUGCUAUAUUAGCUAGCGUGUAUAUCAGUGUACGGAGCCUAGCAUAUUUUCGUUUUGGGGUUAACAUGACUUAUGUUUUAUCCGAGAAGUGAUCAUCUGUUGAUUCAAUCAAGCUUGUGUCAAGAUAUAUAUCUUGUUGAUCAUAUAUGUACUUGAUUUUUUCUUCAGAAAUUAUACUUACAAACUUGUCCA